CAAAGUGUAGCUUAAAWAAAGCCCCCGGCUUACACCCGGAAGAUUUCGACCACUUUGA
Molecule: transfer RNA, 58 nt
Filed under: Geocapromys thoracatus
Lineage: Eukaryota; Metazoa; Chordata; Mammalia; Rodentia; Capromyidae
Description: tRNA-Val
Source: RNAcentral